RNAcentral lists this ribosomal RNA (90 nucleotides) under Methylobacterium oxalidis. The record is from RNAcentral. Lineage: Bacteria; Pseudomonadati; Pseudomonadota; Alphaproteobacteria; Hyphomicrobiales; Methylobacteriaceae.
CAAAACCCGAUCCCAUCUCGAACUCGGCCGUUAAACGCACCAGCGCCCAUGGUACUGUGUCUCAAGGCACGGGAGAGUCGGUCGCCGCCA